This 413-nucleotide unclassified non-coding RNA is filed under the name soil metagenome. Its description in RNAcentral is "partial contains 5.8S ribosomal RNA, internal transcribed spacer 2, and large subunit ribosomal RNA". The stretch from base 1 to 120 matches the Rfam family "5.8S ribosomal RNA", at positions 35 to 154 of the family's 154-position model. The record is from RNAcentral.
GAUGAAGAACGUAGCGAAAUGCGAUAAGUAAUGUGAAUUGCAGAAUUCAGUGAAUCAUCGAAUCUUUGAACGCACCUUGCGCUCUUUGGUAUUCCGAAGAGCAUGCCUGUUUGAGUGUCAUGAAAAUAUCAACCUUGACUUGGGUUUUGUGCUCUAGUCUCGGCUUGGAGUUGGGUGCUUGCCGCUUUUACGAGCGGCUCACCUUAAAUGUAUUAGCUGGAUCUGUCUUUGAGACUUGGUUUGACUUGGCGUAAUAAGUAUUUCGCUAAGGACAUUCUUCGGAGUGGCCUCGUUUCUAGGACGCUUGUCCGCUUUCCAAUACAAGUUCCACCUCGUGGACAUGACUUUUUAUUAUCUGGCCUCAAAUCAGGUAGGACUACCCGCUGAACUUAAGCAUAUCAAUAAGCGGAGGA